Morus notabilis is the source of this 503-nucleotide long non-coding RNA. RefSeq lists it as uncharacterized. The record is from RefSeq and is a predicted model, not a curated record. NCBI's taxonomy places the organism in Eukaryota, Viridiplantae, Streptophyta, Magnoliopsida, Rosales, Moraceae. The transcript has 2 exons.
UUUUCUUUUAUUAUUAUCCAAACUGCAGGAGGAGCCCUAUAUCAAUCGCAGCAGCAGUUAUUUACAUUAUAACCCAGCUUUCGGAUGAUAAAAAGCCUCUCAAAGAUAUCUCCGUUGCCACUGGGGUGGCAGAAGGAACAAUCAGAAACUCCUACAAGGAUCUUUAUCCUCAUGUAUCCAAGAUUAUUCCAAACUGGUAUGCAAAAGAAGAGGAUCUCAAGAACCUCUGCAGCCCUUGAAUUGUAGACCAAAACCAAAAAAAAAAAAGAAAAAAAAAAGGAAAAAAAAAAAAAGAGCCGGAACAUACAGAGGAUUCAGAAUAGUUUUUCGAGGCUUUUCUGUUGAAUUAUAUUAAAACUGUUCAACACAACGGUGCCAAAAUGUCUAUUGCAUCUUCAUAGUUCCCUUUAUUGUGUUCAUUUCAAUAGUAAUUUAACAGCAGUUUCAUUUCAAUAUGUGCUUGAACUAGCAAAUAAUAAUUCAAUACAUUUAUUUUUAGCUGA